GUACAUGCCUACAACAUAGAAUCAAUGCACUGGAUCCCAUUAAAACUAUGCAGUUAAGCGCGCUCGGGCUAGAGUAGUAGAGUAUUACUGGGAUGGGUGACCGCCCGGGAAGUCCUGGUAUUUUAC
Picea glauca (white spruce) is the source of this 126-nucleotide non-coding RNA. The record is from Rfam. Lineage: Eukaryota; Viridiplantae; Streptophyta; Pinopsida; Pinales; Pinaceae.